AGACACGCGGAUCCCAGGGGUGACAAACCGGAUCAGGUCGGGGCUUUAGCCAAUACGACACCGUUUUGGAGCCACUGGAUCAGGCUUAAAACGGCACCGUUUCUGGUCCUUUAAAAAGACUGAAACCAGCCUCCUUCAGCCGGAUCAAACCCUAGCCCCUUUUCUUCUCAACCAGCACCUUGAACCCCUGGCCUUGUACACCGAUCCACCACCAAAAUGGCAGCUAGUGACUUCGGGGCCACAAGGAUCAUUUUUUAGCUACGAAAUCGCCUAUUGUCUUCGAUUUCGAUGAAGCAAGGAGGAAUGGAUGGCUUAUUCGCAAGGUAUCACCUCUCUUUUCCUUUCUUUUUGAAUGUAAAUGAUGAAAAACGCAAGAAACGAGUAAUCAAAAUAUCGAAACGGAGAUCACCUUCAAAAAUUGGUUGCCUUUUUUUGUAUUCUAUAUGUGCGAUAUGCGUCUGUAUUGCGUGUGUUCGUAACCGACUACAAAGAUUGAAAUAUUGGCUUCAUAGCCGAAAAGAAAGAAAGAAAAAUCAAUAAAAAAUACAAUAUUUUUCUUUGUUUGUAUUUGCUGCUGUGUUUGCCUCAUUUGCUUGCAAGUACGGAGGUACGGGGCCAGCUGUGGGGAUAUGUGGCACUCGACGUAGGGCGUACGGAGGCGUUGGAGGCGGUCCUACGGUGCGAGAGCUAGGGCUCGGUUGCGGCGCAAUGAGAGAACCCUAGGGUUCCUGUUCUUGAAAUGUUUCGGGCCUUUUGGGCCGAUAUAACUUGGAUCUGGGUUUAUCUAUAAAUAGGCUGGUUAUUUGGGUCUUGGGUCAAUUUGGGAUUGGGCAUUAACUUGGGCUGCGGACUAUUGAAAUGAUUUGGACUUUGGACUAUUAAUUAUUUGGUUUUUAUAUUUAUUUAUUUAUUUUGUAUUUUAUCUUGGGUUUCUAAUGGGCCCGGGCAAAUUGGCCCAUUUACAGCUGGUUGAUUUAACAUCAUAUCAUAGUCCCAUAGAGAGUGAAUGGUCGGUUCCUGAGUACACAAACAAAUAGCACAGCUAGCAUUGUUCUUCAUUUCUCUUCGGCGUUGCUUUUCAUUAGUUAAUAAUCUCCCACUUAAGGUGAUCCAUAAGAAACUCCUUAUACGCUAUGGUACUGGCAGCUUUCAUACUUUUGACUACCAUUCAUCUUCAAUAUCCCAGUAGCUACUACUAAUAAACUUGUACGUAGUCGCUACCGAGAAGUUUAACUAAAUAGAGGCUCCCUAAGCAAUUCUAUCCGGUCCAGCAACAUAGAGAAUUGCAGUAUAGUUAAUCAUAUUGUUAAGCCCAUUCCAUUCUUCUUGACCAUGAACCAAAUUAGUAAGUUUUAGAUUUUCAUCAAUAGAUUGAGGCUCAAUACAUUGAUUCAUUAACAGUCUAAGCUCGACAAAACAAGUAUCAAUCCAUAAUCUAAUACGCCUUCCAUUUCCAAUCCCCCAGCAAAUAUUCUAAAAAUAAAUCUCAAAUCUUUGCCAACAAUCUCCAAUUAUAGGAGCAAACAGAUCAGUCAAUCUUCAACGGAUGGUCUUUAUUAACUUUUU
RNAcentral lists this long non-coding RNA (1566 nucleotides) under Gossypium barbadense (sea-island cotton). RNAcentral's name for it is "long non-coding RNA (GBAR_LNC003348)". Lineage: Eukaryota; Viridiplantae; Streptophyta; Magnoliopsida; Malvales; Malvaceae. The record is from RNAcentral.